GAUCAGACGAUAACUUUUCCAAAAGGAAUAGUGAAGAACCUUUGUGUCCGAGUUGGUACCUUAUAUGCCCCAGCAGACUUCGUAGUAGUAGAGACCGGAAAUGAUGAGAGGGCACCUAUCAUCUUAGGGAGGCCAUUCUUGAACACCACGGGAGCUAUCAUCUACGCCAGUGCUGCCAAGAUCAGUUUCUAUGUCAAAGGGAGGAAGGAGACAUUUUUCUUCAAGAACAAGACUACACAAAUUCCAGAUCAAUCCAGACGUAAAUCAAGGAAGAGGACCAACAGGAGGAAUAGGAACAAGCAAGUGUGGACCGAGUCAGCUAAGAUGGUCACUGUAGUUCAUGGAGGCCAAGAUCAUCAACUUAAGUCACCGUUUUUGACCAAGAAGGACGACCCAGGAAUGCCAAGCAUCUACUGCUCCAUAAAUGGAUACAACUUCUACAAGACGAUUUGCGACACCGGAUCGGGCGUCAACAUAAUGGCCGCAGUCACCUAUCGGCUCUUGUUCGGAACCAUGCCACUAAGACGAACAUACAUUCAGCUCCAGAUGGCAGAUCAGACAUUUCGAGAAGUUAAAGGAACAGUAACUGAUGUCCCAGUCAAAAUAGACGAUCACUUUGUCUACACAGACUUUCAAGUUAUUGACAUGGGAGAAGAUGAGUACGAUCCAUCCAUCAUCCUUGGAAGACCGUUCCUCAGCACCGUUAAAGCAAUUAUCUACAUUGGAACCGGAGAAGUCCAUAUGCACUUCCCCUCAGAGAAGGUACGCCGUUACUUUACUGACCCUAACUAUAUCGUUGAAGAAUCUAAGCAGGUAAGAAAAAGACGCAACCGCAACCAGAGGAGGCAGAUCAUCAGGGACGGAUGGACAGACUACGAAGGAGAAGUUGUAAGAUCAGAAGACGUAGAGUUUAAACAGAAUUAUCCAGAGGAGACUGAAGCACCAAGUCAGGUGUGGAAAAUGAAGAUAACUAUACACGAAGAGGAGGCGCUGCCGGAAGUACCGACUACGCCACCCAACGAACCUCAGGACGAUUAAGAAAAUGGAAAGUUCCGUUCGGAGGACUUAAAAACACCGAACGUCUUACCAAGAGGUAAACUUGGUAGUUAUCCUUUUCCAUUUCAAAUUAUUCCAACUAGUUUACUUAGUUAAUCAUGUUCGUGCUAUUCUAAAAAAGAAAAUAAAAAUAUGAAAAAUAGUAAGCCCCAUGUGAGUAUACGAAUGGCAUAAAACCCAUAAGUACAUUCACUAUGGUGGCAUAAAAAUAAAAUAAAUAUUUUUCUGCUUUACAAAAUAAAAAUAUAAAAACAGGGAGUAAUAAUUAUUAAGGAGUCUCAACAUGAUAAAGGCUAGAUAUUUAUGCUAACACUUAAUCAGUUCCACAAGCUUUGUUGUCUAUUUGAGCUCCACAGAAUUUAAGAAUCAAGAAGACUAGCAGAUGGAGGACAUUCUAAUCGCUGUCAGAAUGCUGCUGACUUUCAAAUACACCUCUGCCACCUGCUAGCUACAUCAAGAGAAAUUACGUCAAAAUUCAGUUUGGGGGAGAGCACCCCCAUUUAUCCCGAUAAGUAUUUCUAUCUAUCUAUCUUUAUACUUAUAUUAUUUUAGAAUAUUAAAAUACAUAAACUAUGAAAAACCAAAUAAAGAUUUUAUGCUUAUAUAUAUAUAUAUCUUUUGCUUAGUGUGUUUAAUAAAUAAAUAAAGUGGCUAUGCUAAUCUGUAUCUAAAUAAAACUUAAGCAUGGAUAUGAUGAAUAGUUGCUCUGCCUAAUUUGCACAUUUUGAGUUCUCUCUCAAGUUUAGAUAUAACUGUUAUAAUUUAAAGCUUGCUCUAGACCUAAACUUGUGGGAUGAAAAUUUGAUCUGAAGUCUAAGUUGUUAACGGAUACGAUAUGGGAAGGUUGAGCUGCUGUUUAUCUGUUCCUAGAGAUGCUAGAAUUCUGGAGAAUUUUAUCUUUGAAAAUCUUUAAAAUGUUGCAUGAUGAGUUCCUGUAUGAUGAGAGUUUAAAUUCCUACCACAGCCAUAUAUACAUGCUUGCUAGACUUUGAGCCACACAUUUACUAUUUACUGCUUAUGAGCAUUGAGUGUGGUCAAGCUGUGUAGACCCUUAGGAACUUGUCAUGUGGUUAAAUCAAGAUUCACUUGCACGUUCACUCAUAUAUGUUACUUCUACUCCGGAAGUACCAUCCACAUAUAUCCACCCAUUCCAUCUCCAGAAUCACCCAAAAAUAUUCUACUCCUAAUCCAGGAGAAAAUAACCAAAAAUAUUUUGUUUUUCCCUUGUGAAAUAAAUGCUCAAGUUAUCUUGUUACUACCACUUGCUAUAUUAUCUCAUGAGAUGAGUGCUUUCUAAAAAAAAAGAAAUACGAGGAAAUAAAAAGGAGCAAGUGCUCGGAACCUCGAAAGAAAAGAAAAAGUGAGACGAGAGGUAAAAAUGGACAAGUGUCCGACAGUAGAAUUAGGGUGCAAGAUACCCACCUGAGAGAAAAGAAAAAGAAGAGCAUCUCAUUCUCCUCAUAAAGUUUCAAAAAAAAACAAGGAAGGUAUGUAUCCCCUCAAAGAGCAAAGUAGAAUUAGACUUCCACCACCAUUGUUUUCACCAUUGUUAUCACCAUCAUCACCAUACAUCAUUCAUUCGCCACACAUGCACAUCUUGAUUAAACUCAUUGGCUUGUUUCUUUGGAUCCAUGGUUUGAAUAUGCAAUACAUGUCUUGUAAGUAUGUAUAUUUUAUCUCCCACCUAUGAGCUCUAGAUAUUAAAGCCUUAUUAGAGUAGGGUGAGAGAGAAGGCAAUGUCACUAUGCCUUACACCACAAAUACCACAUAUCUUGAGAGAAGGCAUAUACCAUCACUGCCUUGGUAAGGAUCCAGAAAUAUCACAAAAGAGAGAUCUGAGAGAAUCAUACAAGGAAUCUCUGAGUUUUAUUUGAAAAUAUGCAAAAACCCCAGAGCUAUAGCUGAUCAAGAAUAAGAGACAUGGCACUUGACUAGACUGUUCUAUCUUUUAACCACUCAAGACACAAGUGACAGUUACAAG
This 3037-nucleotide long non-coding RNA is filed under the name Sorghum bicolor (sorghum). RNAcentral's name for it is "long non-coding RNA (SBIC_LNC002601)". Lineage: Eukaryota; Viridiplantae; Streptophyta; Magnoliopsida; Poales; Poaceae. The record is from RNAcentral.